CGCCGGGCGCGGGCGCGAGAGGACGGGCGGAGCAGGCCUGUGGGCGGUUGGUGGGCUCUCGGCUGCCGGGAGGGUCGUGAACUCCGUUUUCGCUGCCCAGGCGCGACAGAAGCGCUCUGUCCCUCCAGCACUCCUGAACUCGAAUGGUGUGUGGCAGAAGCAAUCAAGAUGAUUGAAAAUUGUGCUGAAAAGAAGUCUGCUGAGUCCUAGAAGACAUUUCCAUGUGAAAGUGGAAAUGAAACAUCAUGAAAAAGAUCUCAAAGAGAAGAGCUGAUAUUAAAAAAAGGAACCAAUUCUGGAUGUGGUGAAAAAGGCACACUCAUACAUUGCUGGUGGAGUUGC
Molecule: long non-coding RNA, 342 nt
Organism: Sciurus carolinensis (gray squirrel)
Lineage: Eukaryota; Metazoa; Chordata; Mammalia; Rodentia; Sciuridae
Exons: 4
Source: RefSeq, a predicted model, not a curated record